RNAcentral lists this long non-coding RNA (701 nucleotides) under Carica papaya (papaya). RNAcentral's name for it is "long non-coding RNA (CPAP_LNC006073)". Lineage: Eukaryota; Viridiplantae; Streptophyta; Magnoliopsida; Brassicales; Caricaceae. The record is from RNAcentral.
GCAUGGACAGCCUCCACCUUGUUAUCAUUCUUAUUUUCCUUCUAAAGAACACUACUUUCAAGAAUUUUGUCCAGCAACAUAUGUUCUACUAUUUUCUCUUAAAACAAAAUGUUGUAUUCCCAUCCAAAAUGAAGCUCCCACAAAGUUCCACUAGGCACUAGUAGAUGAUAAUCACAUAACUGAACCAUCAAGGGUUUGUAACAAGAGUGCUUUCUAAUUCAAACCAAGGUGAACUAAGAUCAAAACCAUCCAUGCCAACCACUACAAUUAAGGUGUAGUCAGGCUCAACAAAAAUGCUAAUAAAAAUGUGUUCAUAAAAUAACAGAAAUAGGAAAACAAAUCCCACAAGUAGAUACUUGAAUCGCAACCCAAAAUAUAAUGAGCCAUAAGACCCCAGAACGUACAUUCCCAAAUUCCAACGAUUACUAAUGAAUUAUUUGUUUGUUUCCUAUUUUCUUUCUUCAGAGAUGAGCAUGCAUAAUUACGCGGUAUACACUCAAUUAAAAUCAGGUUAUGCUUAGGCGAAUCUCUAAUUUCUUAGAUUGGUAACAAAAACCAUUGUGCUCAAACUCAAUGAGACAUUACUGAAGGGGAACUAGAAUAGUAGAGGAGAGGCGACGCGCUAACCUUGGCAACCAUGCGUUGGAAAGUGAUGUCUUCAUCGUCUAUCCUAUCUUUCCCUUUGCCCCACUUCUUAUCUG